GAUGAACGCUGGCGGCGUGCCUAAUACAUGCAAGUCGAACGCACAGCGAAAGGUGCUUGCACCUUUCAAGUGAGUGGCGAACGGGUGAGUAACACGUGGACAACCUGCCUCAAGGCUGGGGUGUACAUUUGGAAACAGUUGCUAAUACCGAAUAAAACUCAGUGUCGCAUGACACAAAGUUAAAAGGCGCUUUGGCGUCACCUAGAGAUGGACCCGCGGUGCAUUAGUUAGUUGGUGGGGUAAAGGCCUACCAAGACAAUGAUACAUAGCCGAGUUGAGAGACUGAUCGGCACAUUGGGACUGAGACACGGCCCAAACUCCUACGGGAGGCUGCAGUAGGGAAUCUUCCACAAUGGGCGAAAGCCUGAUGGAGCAACGCCGCGUGUGUGAUGAAGGCUUUCGGGUCGUAAAGCACUGUUGUAUGGGAAGAACAGCUAGAAUAGGGAAUGAUUUUAGUUUGACGGUACCAUACCAGAAAGGGACGGCUAAAUACGUGCCAGCCGCCGCGGUAA
RNAcentral lists this ribosomal RNA (512 nucleotides) under uncultured bacterium. RNAcentral's name for it is "partial 16S ribosomal RNA". It matches the Rfam family "Bacterial small subunit ribosomal RNA", at positions 28 to 523 of the family's 1533-position model. The record is from RNAcentral.